AUUGAACGCUGGCGGUAUGCUCAACACAUGCAAGUCGAACGGAAACAGGUUUGUGGGUUCCGUCGACAGGAGAACGGGUGAGUAAGGGAUCGGAACGCAUCCAGAGGUAGGGGAUAAUGUAGCGAAAGCUAGGGUAAUUCCCUCUGAGAUCUGAGAUUGCAUGCGGGUGACCCAGCAGGAAUUUUUGGCCUUGUGCGUCUGUAUGCGCCGAGGCCUGAUUAGCUAGUUGGCAGGGUAAAGGCCUACCAAGGCGACGAUCCGUAGCUCGACUGAGAGGAUGAUCAGCCACACAGGAGCUGAGACACGGCCCAAACUACUACGAGAGGCAGCAGUGGGGAAUAUUAGGCAAUGGGGGCAAGCCUGAUCCAGCAAUGCCGCGUGCGCAGAGAAGGCCUUCAGGUUGUAAACCGCUUUUGUAGGGAACGAAAAGUCGCUGGCUAAUACCGUGUGAUGAUGACGGUACCGAAUGAAUAAGCACCGGCUAACUACGUG
RNAcentral lists this ribosomal RNA (492 nucleotides) under uncultured bacterium. Its description in RNAcentral is "partial 16S ribosomal RNA". It matches the Rfam family "Bacterial small subunit ribosomal RNA", at positions 30 to 507 of the family's 1533-position model. The record is from RNAcentral.